UACGUAGGGGGCAAGCGUUGUCCGGAAUCAUUGGGCGUAAAGCGCGUGUAGGCGGUCCGGUAAGUCCGCUGUGAAAGUCGGGGGCUUAACCCUCGGAUGCCGGUGGAUACUGUCGGGCUUGAGUACGGAAGAGGCGAGUGGAAUUCCUGGUGUAGCGGUGAAAUGUGCAGAUAUCAGGAGGAACACCAAUUGCGAAGGCAGCUCGCUGGGACGUUACUGACGCUGAGACGCGAAAGCGUGGGGAGCGAACAGG
RNAcentral lists this ribosomal RNA (253 nucleotides) under uncultured bacterium. RNAcentral describes it as "partial 16S ribosomal RNA". It matches the Rfam family "Bacterial small subunit ribosomal RNA", at positions 524 to 776 of the family's 1533-position model. The record is from RNAcentral.